Small nucleolar RNA from Anguilla rostrata (American eel), 85 nucleotides. RefSeq annotates it as small nucleolar RNA SNORD11B. The transcript has a single exon. Lineage: Eukaryota; Metazoa; Chordata; Actinopteri; Anguilliformes; Anguillidae. The record is from RefSeq and is a predicted model, not a curated record.
AACAAGCGGUGAUGAUGCUGACGUUAUGUCACUGCCCUGAAUACCAACUGUGGGUCCUUAAGUCACUACCUCAUCUGAGCUUGUU